Beta vulgaris subsp. vulgaris (sugar beet) is the source of this 401-nucleotide long non-coding RNA. RefSeq lists it as uncharacterized. Lineage: Eukaryota; Viridiplantae; Streptophyta; Magnoliopsida; Caryophyllales; Amaranthaceae. The transcript has 3 exons. The record is from RefSeq and is a predicted model, not a curated record.
GUCAACUAUGCCUAUCUUUAAAGCUUAUGGGUUGGCAAAGUCGUCAAUGUCUGAUUGUGUGUCAGAAAUAAUAUCUGCUAUUCGCACGGUGAGGUCCUUUGGUGGGGAAAAGCGCCAAAUGUCAGCAUUCGGUAAUCAGAUUUUCGCAUAUAAGGCUAGCGGCAUUCAACUGGGCACUUAAAAAUCCAUUAAUGAAUCAGUAACCCGAGUUGCAGUCUAUGUAUCUCUAUUGGCCUUGUAUUGUCUUGGAGGGAACACAGUUAAAGCGGUUAGUUGUGUUCAUCAACAACCAGUGAUUUUAGGAUCUUUUUUAAGUAUUAUUUUCUUAAUUUUCUGCUCACUCUCAGUUGCACUUUUGGGUGUUUGACUGAUAUGAUUGGAGAUAUUAAAUAAUAGCUUUU